RNAcentral lists this ribosomal RNA (887 nucleotides) under uncultured bacterium. RNAcentral's name for it is "bacterial SSU rRNA". It matches the Rfam family "Bacterial small subunit ribosomal RNA", at positions 513 to 1399 of the family's 1533-position model. The record is from RNAcentral.
AGCCGCUGUAAAAUGUAGGUCGCUAGUGUUGUCGGGAAUUUGUGGGUGUAAAGAGAGUACAGGCGGGAAGACAUUUUGUAAGUGACAUCUGUGGGCUCAUCCCAUAAAGUAUUUUAUAAAAUGUUUUUUUUAAUUAGUGCAGAGGUAGCAGGAAUUCUUGGUGUAGCGGUGGAAUGAGUAGUUAUCGGGAGGAACACUAGUGGUGAAGACGGCAUCCUGGGCACCAACUGACGCUGAGGCUCGAAAGUGUGUGUAGCACACACGAUUAGAUACCCUGGUAGUCCACACCGUAAACGAUGAUUACUAGGUGUUGGAGGAUUGACCCCUUCAGUGCCGCAGUUAACACAAUAAGUAAUCCACCUGGGGAGUACGACCGCAAGGUUGAAACUCAAAGGAAUUGACGGGGGCCCGCACAAGCAGUGGAGUAUGUGGUUUAAUUCGAUGCAACGCGAAGAACCUUACCAAGUCUUGACAUCCCUUGACAGGCAUAGAAAUAUGUUUUCUCUUCGGAGCAAGGAGACAGGUGGUGCAUGGUUGUCGUCAGCUCGUGUCGUGAGAUGUUGGGUUAAGUCCCCCAACGAGCGCAACCCCUAUCUUCAGUAGCCAGCAGGUAAUGGCUGGGCACUCUGGAGAGACUGCCAGGGAUAACCUGGAGGAAGGUGGGCGACGACGUCAAAUCAUCACGCCCCUUAUGAUCUGGGCGACACACGUGCUUCAAUGGCGGCCACAGAGUGAGGCGACCCCGCGAGGGGGAGCAAACCACAAAAAGGCCUUCCCAGUUCGUCCUGUGGUCGGCACCCCGAUUACUCGAAGCAGGAAUCUCUAGUAUUGGCGAAUCAGAAUGUCGCGGUGAAUACGUUCCCGGCUCUUGCACUCACCGCCCGUCA